RNAcentral lists this ribosomal RNA (301 nucleotides) under uncultured bacterium. RNAcentral describes it as "partial 16S ribosomal RNA". It matches the Rfam family "Bacterial small subunit ribosomal RNA", at positions 509 to 807 of the family's 1533-position model. The record is from RNAcentral.
CAGUCGCCACGGUAAUACGUAGGGUGCGAGCGUUAAUCGGAAUUACUGGGCGUAAAGCGUGCGCAGGCGGUUUUGUAAGACAGAGGUGAAAUCCCCGGGCUCAACCUGGGAACUGCCUUUGUGACUGCAAGGCUAGAGUACGGCAGAGGGGGAUGGAAUUCCGCGUGUAGCAUUGAAAUGCGUAGAUAUGCGGAGGAACACCGAUGGCGAAGGCAAUCCCCUGGGCCUGUACUGACGCUCAUGCACGAAAGCGUGGGGAGCAAACAGGAUUAGAUACCCCUGUAGUCCCUGUCUCUUAUAC